GAUGAACGCUGGCGGCGUGCCUAAUACAUGCAAGUCGAGCGAAAAGACGAGGAGCUUGCUCGUCUGACGUUAGCGGCGGACGGGUGAGUAACACGUGGAUAUACUACCUAUCAGACUGGGAUAAUUACGGGAAACAGGUGCUAAUACCGGAUAAUAUAUUGAACCGAAUGGUUCAAUAGUGAAAGACGGUUUUGCUGUCACUUAAAGAUGGAUACGCACCGCAUUAGCUAGUUGGUAAGGUAACGGCUUACCAAGGCAACGAUGCGUAGGCGACCUAAAAGAGUCGACGGCCACACCGGAACCGAGACACAGCCGAGACUCCUACAGGAAGCAACAGUAGAGAAUCUUCCGCAAUGGACAAGAGCCUGACGGAGCAACACCGCGUAAAUGAUGAAGGUCUUCGGAUCGUAGAACGCUGUUAUUAAGGAAGAACAAAUGUGUAAGUAACUAUGCACAUCAUGACGGUACCUAGGCAGAAAGCCACGGCUAACUACGUA
RNAcentral lists this ribosomal RNA (497 nucleotides) under uncultured bacterium. RNAcentral describes it as "partial 16S ribosomal RNA". It matches the Rfam family "Bacterial small subunit ribosomal RNA", at positions 28 to 507 of the family's 1533-position model. The record is from RNAcentral.